CAGCUGCUUGAGUACUACGAGCGUGUGCUUAAAACUCAAAGAACUUGGCGGCUUUUUAACUACCCAGGGGAACAUGCGCCUUAAUCCGAUGAUCCGCGUUUUCAUCUUACUGUACCUUGAAAGAGAACAGCUGGUGUAUUGCCGUUGUCAGCUUGUUGUUGAGCAAUAAGAAACAGGCUCAAUGGAACUAGAAAUGAAAAUUUGUGGGAUCCAUAAAUUCAGGUCGAAAUACUGCCAAUGGUACAAGGGAGUGGGUGUUACAAUUUUAAUUUAAAACUACGGAUCCAUGAAAAAAAUGAAAUUAUCUGGUGAAGGUGGACUUGGGAGUAAGAGGGGAUUAGUACGCCCCUCUGAACGUGGAGCUAAUUGGAGUACAAACCGCCCGUCGCUCUCGCCUUAAGGGGAGAUAAGUCGUAACAAGG
RNAcentral lists this ribosomal RNA (422 nucleotides) under Mimachlamys cloacata. RNAcentral's name for it is "partial 12S ribosomal RNA". It matches the Rfam family "Bacterial small subunit ribosomal RNA", at positions 866 to 1496 of the family's 1533-position model. The record is from RNAcentral. Lineage: Eukaryota; Metazoa; Mollusca; Bivalvia; Pectinida; Pectinidae.